Molecule: ribosomal RNA, 660 nt
Filed under: uncultured bacterium
Lineage: Bacteria
Description: bacterial SSU rRNA
Rfam family: Bacterial small subunit ribosomal RNA
Source: RNAcentral
AGUGGCGGACGGGUGAGUAACGCGUGAGAAUCUGCCUUGGGGUCGGGGACAACCACUGGAAACGGUGGCUAAUACCGGAUAAGCCGAUUGGUGAAAGAUUUAUUGCCCGAAGAGGAGCUCGCGUCUGAUUAGCUAGUUGGUGAGGUAAGAGCUCACCAAGGCAGCGAUCAGUAGCUGGUCUGAGAGGACGAUCAGCCACACUGGGACUGAGAGACGGCCCAGACUCCUACGGGAGGCAGCAGUGGGGAAUUUUCCGCAAUGGGCGAAAGCCUGACGGAGCAAGACCGCGUGAGGGAGGAAGGCUCUUGGGUUGUAAACCUCUUUUCUCAGGGAAGAAGCUCUGACGGUACCUGAGGAAUCAGCCUCGGCUAACUCCGUGCCAGCAGCCGCGGUAAUACGGAGGAGGCAAGCGUUAUCCGGAAUUAUUGGGCGUAAAGCGUCCGCAGGUGGCGAUUCAAGUCUGCUGUCAAAGCACGGGGCUUAACUCCGUAAAGGCAGUGGAAACUGAAUAGCUAGAGUGCCGUAGGGGUAGAGGGAAUUCCCGGUGUAGCGGUGAAAUGCGUAGAGAUCGGGAAGAACAUCGGUGGCGAAAGCGCUCUACUGGACGGCAACUGACACUCAGGGACGAAAGCUAGGGGAGCGAAUGGGAUUAGAUACCCC